RNAcentral lists this unclassified non-coding RNA (387 nucleotides) under Hevea brasiliensis (rubber tree). Lineage: Eukaryota; Viridiplantae; Streptophyta; Magnoliopsida; Malpighiales; Euphorbiaceae. The record is from RNAcentral.
AUCUAGAUCGGGAGGGAGAGGGCAAGAUGGCGAGCGCGUCUCUACUCUCCCAUGCUCACCUCAGCUGCCUUCGCCGCCUCGAUAGCACCACCCACCGCCACCACAGGUUCCAACGUAUCAGCAGAGCAACCUUCUCCACCACGCCGAGUCCCCGCUGGAACGGUCUCCGAUGCCUUGCUCUCCCAGAUGACGAAACAGGCCUGCAGCCGCAACAGCCGCCGCCGGGUGCCGUCGGGGCUGCCCUGGAGGAAAAACCCAAAGAUAGCUUACAAGAAGAGAACUCACCAAAUGUUGGCCAGAAUAGUGAAAGAUCUAUAUAUAAUUUUCUUAAUCCUAGCAAAGAGCUUCUCCCUGAUGAUAAAGAGAUGAGUAUCUUUGACCAUCUAG